This is a long non-coding RNA of Lycium ferocissimum, 624 nucleotides long. RefSeq lists it as uncharacterized. The record is from RefSeq and is a predicted model, not a curated record. NCBI's taxonomy places the organism in Eukaryota, Viridiplantae, Streptophyta, Magnoliopsida, Solanales, Solanaceae. The transcript has 2 exons.
AAGAAAAAUGGUUUUUAACGACCAACAUUUAGCGACGAGGUGGAUAUCUGGUUGCCAAAAGCAUACUUAUGGGGAUGGCUUGUUUUUCUGGCCCCUAAUUGUUUGUAUGUUAAUGAAGGGUCCCAAUCUGGUCACGAAAAAGCUGAACAUCUCUUCGCUAAUAUAUAACUUCGGGAGUGAGAAGCAUUUUUUUUUAAAGAGAAAAACUAUAUCAUAUCUUCUUAAUUAAUUAAUUAACCCACCCACCCACGCACGCCCCCACUCCUCACCCUUUCUCAUUUUCCUCAAAUUAAACCCUAUCAUAUCUACGUGUUUCUCUCCUACCCCUACCAUUCUACUCUUCCAACUUCUCUCUAAAAGGAUGAAUACUCACGGCGGCAUCAACGUGGGCGUCUAUUUGAGGUGGCUGAGAUAGGUGACUCAAAGAUCCGGCAACGAUAAGAGCUGUUUAUCUUAGCAGGAUUUGAAGACUUGAGGUUACGGUCAAGACACAAGUGUUGAAGACGAUCUUUAUAAGUUUUCUUAAAGAAAUUUACUUUAUGUUUUUAUGGGAUUUGAAGACUGGAGGUUACAGUCAAGACACAGGUGUUGAAGACUUCAUAUAUGAUGAUAAAUUGGUUUUCA